UUUAUUUUUUAGGUCAGUACUAUCUAGUCUCAUUUUAUAGUGUAGUGAAUUUAUGUCUAGAUUGGUCAAGUCAUUCUCAAGAUAACAAAAACCUUUUGCUGAGGAUAUGAAAAUUAUAAAGCUUCACUUGGAGUGAAAAAUUAAUUAGAGUCAUAUGGCAAAUACUAGAACUAAGAAAACUUCUACUUAUACAUUAAUAAAAAAACAUUACAUGUCCUGUGCUUAAAUCGACACCUCUACAAAGUUAACUAAACCAGUCAUGUAAUGCAAAUCUGAGGCAUACUAUAAAUGUGUGCAGCUUCAACCUGAAAGAUAAUACUCAAAACAACAAUGAAUGUGUGUUUUUGUGUUUGUGAAGUAGGUGGUGAUCUGCUUAGUUUAGAAGCUGAGAGGACAGGGGGAGAGUGAGGCUAGGAAAUUGUAAUCGACCUGGAUUUUUAAUCAUAUAAUCUACCUUAUUUAUAAAAAAGGUUGAAAUUAUUAAAAAGGAAAAAAAACCCAACUGUAGCCUUUGAAUUCAAAACUAUAACUAGAUCGUGCUCGUGUGAAUAUUC
RNAcentral lists this long non-coding RNA (554 nucleotides) under Bos taurus (domestic cattle). RNAcentral's name for it is "long non-coding RNA NONBTAT008147". The record is from RNAcentral. Lineage: Eukaryota; Metazoa; Chordata; Mammalia; Artiodactyla; Bovidae.